GCCCCAUAGCAAACACAUCGAUGACAGCUGAUUCGCUGCUGGGCUGAUCGCUUCCUGCGCGCCUAUUUCUUUCACGGAAUACGACGGCGCACUGCGUUUCCCAAGAAAGUGCGACAAUUGAAAAUUGAACAAUUGAAAGUAACGGUCCGUUGACUGUAGGCGUUGUUGGCAAAUGGCAAGAAUUCUAUGGAAUGGUGGUGAAUACGAUUCGGUCCCAAGGAGCACAAAUGGCUCAGAAAGUGCACAGAAGUUGUAGAUGCAGAGCAGCAAAACAAGGACGAGUUUCGGUGGAAUAAGCUACGUGUUGGGACUGUUCGUUGUAAUGAAUGAGGAUCUGCAAAUCGAAAACUGCGGAGCUAGCCGGAAUCGAUUCCGACAAAAGCUUCAUUUUUCCCAUCACUAGUAUACAUGAUGUGAUCGGAUUUUACGGACCAGCGGGACCCGUGGACUACAAGUAACAUGGUUCAGCCUAGGGCUGGUCAUACUACUGAGCAUCAUUCUUCCUAACAAGUCAGCAAGGGCUCUGGUAUGGCGGCAGCCCAAGACUGAGCUCGCUGCCUCCCGAGAUACGAAUCAACAUAACUGUUGACGUUACGGUCGAGAGGAAUUGCUUUUCGAGAGAAAGAUGCUCAGAAGGAUUUUUAAGCCCCGCAAGAUAGGAAAGAUCGAUGGAUGAGCCGAUACAACUUGUACGUGUACGAGAUGGACGUGUUGUAUGAGCUGUACGAUACUGUUAUGUGGCUGGUCAUGUAUACGCAUUGAACCGGACGACUUGAUGGCUCCUCGUAAAGUCCUUUUAGGUCUUCACACAAGGACAGAGGGAGUCACGUGACAGGUUGGAAUGGGAAGUUGGCUGUGAUAACGGAUUGACAGAUGGAGACACGUGACGGUGAGCGAUUUCGGACACUUCUGCAACUAGCCAAGAUAGCAAAGGUUGGUUGUAUAGUGCUGUGUAAGUAAGCAUGUUAUUUAGAGUAGAACAUUGGCAGGCUUCGAACCUCACUUUACCUUAGAAAUCUGUCCUUCAUUGCGACGAUCGGAUGUGAAGUUUCAAAUCGUUUCAAAUAAAUAUACCUAAAUAGAGAA
Molecule: long non-coding RNA, 1086 nt
Organism: Anopheles gambiae (African malaria mosquito)
Lineage: Eukaryota; Metazoa; Arthropoda; Insecta; Diptera; Culicidae
Exons: 3
Source: RefSeq, a predicted model, not a curated record